UCCUUUGAACUUAGACUUCAAAUUCACAUCGCUUUGGAUACCUCCGUAUCUGCAACCAAAACAUGCAACUUGAUACCACACGUAUCAGAAGCUAACAUCAAGCACAACGUCGACCAUCGACUUAGCCAACCUGGCUCUGAUACCACUUGUCACGGGGUGAGUGUUUUCUUACCCAAACACCCGUGCGGCGCCCCAGCAUGCCACACACCAAGGCCAGCCCUCUCGAGUCCUUUCCUCGGACAU
RNAcentral lists this long non-coding RNA (243 nucleotides) under Elaeis guineensis (African oil palm). RNAcentral's name for it is "long non-coding RNA (EGUI_LNC038269)". Lineage: Eukaryota; Viridiplantae; Streptophyta; Magnoliopsida; Arecales; Arecaceae. The record is from RNAcentral.